UAGAGUUUGAUCCUGGCUCAGAAUGAACGCUGGCGGCGUGCCUAACACAUGCAAGUCGAACGCGAAAACCCGCAAGGGCCAGUAGAGUGGCGCACGGGUGAGUAAUACAUAAGAAUCUGCCCUUUUGUGAAGAAUACCCUUGAGAAAUCAAGGUUAAUACUGCAUAAGUCGGGAAACCGAGAAAGGUGGCCUCUAGCUACCGCAGAAGGAAGAGCUUGUGUCCUAUCAGCUAGUUGGUGGGGUAAAGGCCUACCAAGGCGAAGACGGGUAGUCGGCCUGAGAGGGUGUACGACCACAAUGGGACUGAGACACGGCCCAUACUCCUACGGGAGGCAGCAGUGGGGAAUAUUGCACAAUGGGCGCAAGCCUGAUGCAGCGACGCCGCGUGGAGGAAGAAGGUCUUCGGAUUGUAAACUCCUGUUGAGUGGGAACAAAGACGGCUGGUUAAUACCCAGUUGGGAUGACGGUACCACUCGAGGAAGCACCGGCAAACUUCGUGCCAGCAGCCGCGGUAAUACGAAGGGUGCGAGCGUUAUUCGGAGUUAUUGGGCGUAAAGGGCGCGUAGGCGGUCCACUAAGUCAGCUGUUAAAGACCUCGGCUUAACCGAGGAAAAGCAGGUGGUACUGGAGGGCUAGAGGACAGGAGAGAGAAGUGGAAUUCUCGGAGUAGCGGUAAAAUGCGUAGAUCUCGAGAGGAACACCGAUGGCGAAGGCAGCUUCUUGGUCUGUAACUGACGCUGAGGCGCGAAAGCGUGGGGAGCAAACAGGAUUAGAUACCCUGGUAGUCCACGCUGUAAACGAUGAUCACUGGAUGUGGGUUCUGCAAUAUGCGGGAUCUGUGUCGAAGCUAACGCGUUAAGUGAUCCGCCUGGGAAGUACGGUCGCAAGAUUAAAACUCAAAGGAAUUGACGGGGGUCCGCACAAGCGGUGGAACAUGUGGUUUAAUUCGACACUACGCGAGGAACCUUACCUGGGUUUGACAUGCUUCAGAAAGCGGUAGAAAUAUCGUGUUUGGUAGCAAUACCAACUGUUGCACAGGUGCUGCAUGGCUGUCGUCAGCUCGUGUCGUGAGAUGUUGGGUUAAGUCCUUUAACGAGCGCAACCCUUGCCGCUUAUUGCAACGUCGAAAGAUGGCACUUAAGCGGGACUGCCUUGGAAACAAGGAGGAAGGUGGGGAUGACGUCAAGUCCUCAUGGCCCUUAUACCCAGGGCUACACACGUGUUACAAUGGCGAACUACAAAGGGGAGCAAAACCGCGAGGUGGAGCAAAUCCCAUAAAAUUCGUCUCAGUUCAGAUUGAAGUCUGCAACCCGACUUCAUGAAGUUGAAAUCGCUAGUAAUCGCGCAUCAGAACGGCGCGGUGAAUACGUUCACGGACCUUGUACACACCGCCCGUCACACCAUGAAAGUUGCUCGCACCCAAAGUUGUUUUACCCAACCUGCAAAGGAGGGGAACAGUUAAGGUGAGGGGAGCGAUUGGGGUGAAGUCGUAACAAGGUAACCGUA
RNAcentral lists this ribosomal RNA (1506 nucleotides) under uncultured bacterium. RNAcentral describes it as "bacterial SSU rRNA". It matches the Rfam family "Bacterial small subunit ribosomal RNA". The record is from RNAcentral.